Molecule: ribosomal RNA, 819 nt
Filed under: uncultured archaeon
Lineage: Archaea
Description: bacterial SSU rRNA
Rfam family: Archaeal small subunit ribosomal RNA
Source: RNAcentral
GCCCUUACUGCUCAGUAACACGUGGUCAAUCUACCGCAAAGUGGCGCAUAAUCCCGGGAAACUGACCGUAAUUCGCCAUAGGCUAUGGCAUCUGGAAGGAGCCAUAGCUUAAAGGAGCGCAAAUUGCAGCGCCACCGCCCCGCGAUGAGACUGCGUCGGAUCAGGCUGUUGGCGGGGUAACGGCCCACCAAACCGAUAACCCGUAGGGGAUGUGAGAGCAUAGGCCUCGAGAAGGGCACUGAGACAAGGGCCCUAGCGCUACGGCGUGCAGCAGGCGCGCAAACUCCACAAUGCGCGGAAGCGUGAUGGGGGGAAUCUGAGCGGUUCACUUCGGUGAACCUUUUGCCAAGUCCAGUAAGCUUGGCGAAUAAGUGCUGGGCAAGACCGGUGGCAGCCGCCACGGUAAUACCGGCAGCACAAGUGGUGUCCACGAUUAUUGGGCUUAAAGCGCUCGUAGCUUGCCUAUGCCGUCUCAUGUGAAAUAUUGGAGCUCAACUUCAAUGCGUGCAUGAGAUACCCAUAGGCUAGGGAGUGGGUGAGGUCAGGAGUACUUAUGGGGGAGGGGUAAAAUCCUGUAAUCCUAUAAGGACUAACGGUGGCGAAGGCGCCUGACUAGAACACAUCCGACAGUGAGGAGCGAAGGCUAGGAGAACGAAUCGGAUCAGAUACCCGAGUAGCCCUAGCAGUAAAUUAUGCAGACUCUGGUGUUACACGCAUCUCGGAUGCGUGUAGUACCGUAGCGAAAGUGUUAAGUCUGCCGCCUGGGGAGUACGGUCGCAAGAUUGAAACUUAAAGGAAUUGGCGGGGGAGCACAAGGGC